AACGCUAGCUACAGGCUUAACACAUGCAAGUCGAGGGGAAACGACAUCGAAAGCUUGCUUUUGAUGGGCGUCGACCGGCGCACGGGUGAGUAACGCGUAUCCAACCUGCCCACCACUUGGGGAUAACCUUGCGAAAGUAAGACUAAUACCCGAUGAUAUCCCACGAAGGCAUCCGAAUGGGAUUAAAGAUUUAUCGGUGAUGGAUGGGGAUGCGUCUGAUUAGCUUGUUGGCGGGGUAACGGCCCACCAAGGCUACGAUCAGUAGGGGUUCUGAGAGGAAGGUCCCCCACAUUGGAACUGAGACACGGUCCAAACUCCUACGGGAGGCAGCAGUGAGGAAUAUUGGUCAAUGGGCGAGAGCCUGAACCAGCCAAGUAGCGUGCAGGAUGACGGCCCUAUGGGUUGUAAACUGCUUUUAUAAGGGAAUAAAGUGGGUCUCGUGAGACUUUUUGCAUGUACCUUAUGAAUAAGGACCGGCUAAUUCCGUGCCAGCAGCCGCGGUAAUACGGAAGGUCCGGGCGUUAUCCGGAUUUAUUGGGUUUAAAGGGAGCGUAGGCCGUUUUUUAAGCGUGUUGUGAAAUGCCGCGGCUCAACCGUGGCACUGCAGCGCGAACUGGAUGACUUGAGUGCGCGGGAGGUAGGCGGAAUUCGUGGUGUAGCGGUGAAAUGCUUAGAUAUCACGAAGAACUCCGAUUG
RNAcentral lists this ribosomal RNA (696 nucleotides) under uncultured bacterium. RNAcentral describes it as "bacterial SSU rRNA". It matches the Rfam family "Bacterial small subunit ribosomal RNA", at positions 32 to 715 of the family's 1533-position model. The record is from RNAcentral.